Molecule: small RNA, 288 nt
Filed under: Methylobacterium brachythecii
Lineage: Bacteria; Pseudomonadati; Pseudomonadota; Alphaproteobacteria; Hyphomicrobiales; Methylobacteriaceae
Description: 5' ureB small RNA
Rfam family: 5' ureB small RNA
Source: RNAcentral
AUCCUCGAUCUGUUGCGGGCAGAUGUAGUGGAUGUGGCUGUCGAAGCCGCCGGCCGUGAGAAUUUUUCCUUCACCGGCAAUCACUUCGGUGCCCGGCCCGACCACGAUGUCGACACCGGGCUGGAUAUCCGGAUUGCCGGCUUUCCCGAGCUUGAAGAUCCGGCCCUGCACGAUCCCGACGUCGCACUUCACGACGCCCCAAUGGUCGAGCACCACGGCGUUGGUGAUGACCGUGUCGACGGCCCCGUCGCGGUUGGUCACCUGCGACUGGCCCAUCCCGUCGCGGAU